UGGCGAGCGGCGGACGGGUGAGUAAUGCAUGGGAAUGUGCCCGAUAGUGGGGGAUAACCUGGGGAAACCCAGGCUAAUACCGCAUACGUCCUACGGGAGAAAGCAGGGGCUCUUCGGACCUUGCGCUAUCGGAUGAGCCUAUGUCGGAUUAGCUAGUUGGUGAGGUAAUGGCUCACCAAGGCGACGAUCCGUAGCUGGUCUGAGAGGAUGAUCAGCCACAUCGGGACUGAGACACGGCCCGAACUCCUACGGGAGGCAGCAGUGGGGAAUAUUGGACAAUGGGCGCAAGCCUGAUCCAGCCAUGCCGCGUGUGUGAAGAAGGCCUUCGGGUUGUAAAGCACUUUCAGUGAGGAAGAACGCCUUGGGCCUAAUACGUCCAAGGGAAGACAUCACUCACAGAAGAAGCACCGGCUAACUCCGUGCCAGCAGCCGCGGUAAUACGGAGGGUGCGAGCGUUAAUCGGAAUUACUGGGCGUAAAGCGCGCGUAGGUGGCUUGAUAAGCCGGUUGUGAAAGCCCCGGGCUCAACCUGGGAACGGCAUCCGGAACUGUCAGGCUAGAGUGCAGGAGAGGAAGGUAGAAUUCCCGGUGUAGCGGUGAAAUGCGUAGAGAUCGGGAGGAAUACCAGUGGCGAAGGCGGCCUUCUGGACUGACACUGACACUGAGGUGCGAAAGCGUGGGUAGCAAACAGGAUUAGAUACCCUGGUAGUCCACGCCGUAAACGAUGUCGACUAGCCGUUGGGAGCCUCGAGUUCUUAGUG
This 760-nucleotide ribosomal RNA is filed under the name Halomonas campaniensis. RNAcentral's name for it is "bacterial SSU rRNA". It matches the Rfam family "Bacterial small subunit ribosomal RNA", at positions 89 to 845 of the family's 1533-position model. The record is from RNAcentral. Lineage: Bacteria; Pseudomonadati; Pseudomonadota; Gammaproteobacteria; Oceanospirillales; Halomonadaceae.